CCACUUAAAGAGGAGGAGGAGAUCAUCUCCUACAUGCUACAUGGCCUCGGCUCUGAAUAUGAUCCUCUGGUGACAAGAAUCACCACGUGCACUAACCUCAUCAUGAUCGGUGACAUCUAUGCGCACAUGCUGAACUUUGAGC
Small nucleolar RNA from Phragmites australis (common reed), 142 nucleotides. RefSeq annotates it as small nucleolar RNA Z247. NCBI's taxonomy places the organism in Eukaryota, Viridiplantae, Streptophyta, Magnoliopsida, Poales, Poaceae. The record is from RefSeq and is a predicted model, not a curated record. The transcript has a single exon.